RNAcentral lists this unclassified non-coding RNA (378 nucleotides) under uncultured Holophagae bacterium. RNAcentral's name for it is "contains 16S-23S intergenic spacer region". Lineage: Bacteria; Pseudomonadati; Acidobacteriota; Holophagae. The record is from RNAcentral.
UCCGGCUUAUCACCGGCAGUUUCUUUAGAGUGCUCAACUAAAUGGUAGCAACUAAAGACGAGGGUUGCGCUCGUUGCGGGACUUAACCCAACAUCUCACGACACGAGCUGACGACAGCCAUGCAGCACCUCUACAGCGGCCUCCGAAGAGGGGGACUCAUCUCUGAGCCUUUCCACUGCAGUUCAAACCCAGGUAAGGUUCUGCGCGUUGCUCCGAAUUAGACCACAUGCUCCACCGCUUGUGCGGGCCCCCGUCAAUUCCUUUGAGUUUCAGUCUUGCGACCGUACUCCCCAGGCGGAGUGCUUAAUGUGUUGACUUCGGCACAGCAGGGGACGAUACCCGCUACACCAAGCACUCAUCGUUUACGGCGUGGACUAC